CAGUUACUCCCUCCGUCCAAAAAUACUUGUCAUUAAAAUGGAUAAAAGGUGAUGUAUCUAAAACUAAAAUACGUCUAAAUACAUCUCCUUUAUCUAUUUUGAUGACAAAUAUUUUCGGACGGAGGGAGUACAUU
Molecule: non-coding RNA, 134 nt
Organism: Triticum aestivum (bread wheat)
Lineage: Eukaryota; Viridiplantae; Streptophyta; Magnoliopsida; Poales; Poaceae
Source: Rfam